AAGUGAAAUUUAGUUUUUGUAGGUAAUAAAAUUUAUUUGUUAUUAGGGUUGAAACCAUUAAAAUUUGGAUAUAAACUAGGAUUAGAUACCCUAUUAUACUAUAUUUAAAUUAUUUAUGCUUGAGUAGUAAUUAGAUAUGAUCUUGAAACUUAAAGGAUUUGGCGGUAUUUUAGUCUUGUUAGAGGAACCUGUUCUUUAAACGAUAAACCUCGAAGUAUCUUACUUUAUUAAGUUUUCAGUUUGUAUAUCGCCAUUAGUAGAUAGUUUUUAUAGAAGGUUAUUAAAAUAGUAAAUAUACUAGAAUAUUAGGUCAAGGUGCAGCUAAUAAUAAAGGAAGUAAUGGGUUACAAUAAAUUAAGUUUAUAACGGAAUAAAAAUAUAAUUUUUUUAUGAAGGAGGAUUUAAUAGUAAUUUUUAUUUAAUAUGAUAAGUUGAUAUAAGCUCUAAAAUAUGUA
Molecule: ribosomal RNA, 455 nt
Filed under: Glyphocrangon stenolepis
Lineage: Eukaryota; Metazoa; Arthropoda; Malacostraca; Decapoda; Glyphocrangonidae
Description: 12S ribosomal RNA
Source: RNAcentral